UGAGGAAUAUUGGGCAAUGCCCGAAAGGGUGACCCAGCAACGCCGCGUGGAGGAUGAAGGUCGUAAGAUUGUAAACUCCUGUUAGAGGGGAAGAAUAACUAAGUUUGGAGCUUAGUAUGACUGUACCCUCAGAGAAAGCCCCGGCUAACUACGUGCCAGCAGCCGCGGUAAUACGUAGGGGGCAAGUGUUGUCCGGAUUUACUGGGUGUAAAGGGCGCGCAGGCGGAAUGGAAAGUCAGUGGUGAAAUCCUACAGCUUAACUGUAGAACUGCCUUUGAUACUUUCAUUCUUGAGUUCGGGAGAGAGAGACGGAAUUCCAGGUGUAGUGGUGAAAUACGUAGAUAUCUGGAAGAACACCAGUUGCGAAGGCGGUCUCUUGGUCCGAUACUGACGCUGAGGCGCGAAAGCGUGCGGAGCAAACA
This 422-nucleotide ribosomal RNA is filed under the name uncultured bacterium. RNAcentral describes it as "bacterial SSU rRNA". It matches the Rfam family "Bacterial small subunit ribosomal RNA", at positions 355 to 774 of the family's 1533-position model. The record is from RNAcentral.